This 245-nucleotide ribosomal RNA is filed under the name uncultured bacterium. RNAcentral describes it as "partial 16S ribosomal RNA". It matches the Rfam family "Bacterial small subunit ribosomal RNA", at positions 524 to 768 of the family's 1533-position model. The record is from RNAcentral.
UACGGAGGUGGCAAGCGUUGUUCGGAAUUACUGGGCGUAAAGGGCGCGUAGGCGGCUUGGCAAGUCAGAUGUGAAGGCCCCGGGCCUAACUCGGGAAUUGCAUCUGAAACUGCUUUGCUUGAGUCCUGGAGGGGGUAGUGGAAUUCCCAGUGUAGCGGUGAAAUGUGUAGAUAUUGGGAGGAACACCUGUGGCGAAGGCGGCUACCUGGACAGUGACUGACGCUGAUGCGCGAAAGCCAGGGGAG